This 242-nucleotide long non-coding RNA is filed under the name Monodelphis domestica (gray short-tailed opossum). RNAcentral's name for it is "lncRNA (ENSMODG00000044074.1)". Lineage: Eukaryota; Metazoa; Chordata; Mammalia; Didelphimorphia; Didelphidae. The record is from RNAcentral.
AGAGACAGGGAUGAGGCUCUUUCCUUGAGUGGCAACUAGAGAAAUAGAGAGAAGGGGAUGAUGGAAAAAUUAGAGUGGAUAUGAAAACAGAUGUACCUGUUAAGGGAUAAGGCUCUCAUAAUUAUAUGGGCCACAUCUACCACUGAAUGGAAAGAUAAGAAAUAGCUCCCAAGAAUAUCUCAUUGAUGCCUGAAAAUGGAGAUAAGAAGAGGAAAAUAAAGAUAUUUCUUCCAUUCUCUGCA